This is a ribosomal RNA of Pteropus vampyrus (large flying fox), 112 nucleotides long. The record is from Ensembl. NCBI's taxonomy places the organism in Eukaryota, Metazoa, Chordata, Mammalia, Chiroptera, Pteropodidae.
CAUGAUAGCUAUAUGUGGUUUUAAAAAAACAUUUUCCCUUGGAAGCUAAGCAGGGCUGGGCCUGGUUAGUACUUGGAUGGGAGACCACCUAGGAAGACCAGGUGCUGCAGGC